AGCAGCCGCGGUAAUUCCAGCUCCAAUAGCGUAUAUUAAAGUUGUUGCAGUUAAAAAGCUCGUAGUUGAAUUUUGGGUUUGGCCGAUUGGUCCGUUCUUGUAGCGAGUACUGGUCGGUUGGGCCUCACCGCUUGGGGAAGGGUAAUGUCCUUUAUUGGGUGUUGCUCCUAGCCAAGACCUUUACCUUGAAAAAAUUAGAGUGUUUAAAGCAGGCAUAUGCCAGAAUACAUUAGCAUGGAAUAAUAGAAUAGGACAAUGAUUCUAUUUUGUUGGUUUCUAGGACCGUUGUAAUGAUUAAUAGGGAUAGUUGGGGGCAUUAGUAUUCAAUUGUCAGAGGUGAAAUUCUUGGAUUUAUUGAAGACUAACUACUGCGAAAGCAUUUGCCAAGGAUGUUUUC
This 397-nucleotide ribosomal RNA is filed under the name uncultured Glomeromycotina. RNAcentral describes it as "SSU rRNA". It matches the Rfam family "Eukaryotic small subunit ribosomal RNA", at positions 569 to 971 of the family's 1831-position model. The record is from RNAcentral. Lineage: Eukaryota; Fungi; Glomeromycota.